Molecule: ribosomal RNA, 253 nt
Filed under: uncultured bacterium
Lineage: Bacteria
Description: partial 16S ribosomal RNA
Rfam family: Bacterial small subunit ribosomal RNA
Source: RNAcentral
UACGUGGGGUGCAAGCGUUGUUCGGAAUUACUGGGCGUAAAGCGUGUGUAGGCGGCUCACUAAGUCUGGUGUGAAAUCCCCAAGCUUAACUUGGGAACUGCAUCGGAAACUGGUGAGCUCGAGUCCGGGAGAGGGUAGCGGAAUUCCUGGUGUAGAGGUGAAAUUCGUAGAUAUCAGGAGGAACACCGGUGGCGAAGGCGGCUACCUGGACCGGUACUGACGCUGAGGCGCGAAAGCCAGGGGAGCAAACGGG